This 391-nucleotide ribosomal RNA is filed under the name uncultured bacterium. RNAcentral's name for it is "bacterial SSU rRNA". It matches the Rfam family "Bacterial small subunit ribosomal RNA", at positions 28 to 422 of the family's 1533-position model. The record is from RNAcentral.
GAUGAACGCUAGCGGCAGGCUUAACACAUGCAAGUCGAGGGGUAUAGUUCUUCGGAGCUAGAGACCGGCGCACGGGUGCGUAACGCGUAUGCAAUCUACCUUUUACAGAGGGAUAGCCCAGAGAAAUUUGGAUUAAUACCUCAUAGUAUGUGAGAAUCGCAUGGUUUUCACAUUAAAGUCACAACGGUAAAAGAUGAGCAUGCGUCCCAUUAGCUUGUUGGUAAGGUAACGGCUUACCAAGGCAACGAUGGGUAGGGUCCGUGAGAGGGAGAUCCCCACACUGGUACUGAGACACGGACCAGACUCCUACGGGAGGCAGCAGUGAGGAAUAUUGGACAAUGGGCGCAAGCCUGAUCCAGCCAUGCCGCGUGCAGGAUGACGGUCCUAGUGG